Acipenser ruthenus (sterlet) is the source of this 685-nucleotide long non-coding RNA. RefSeq lists it as uncharacterized. The record is from RefSeq and is a predicted model, not a curated record. Lineage: Eukaryota; Metazoa; Chordata; Actinopteri; Acipenseriformes; Acipenseridae. The transcript is spliced from 3 exons.
GUCUAAUUUGACAAGCCCUUACGUCUGGUGUGAGUGUUUUUAGCUUUCAAUCCAGUGAACAAAUUUGCAUUGUUGUCUUGAUACUAGUACAUUACUAGCAAAGGGCGAUCAAGACGAAAUACCGUCAGAGAUUAAAAACGCCAAUAAUGUCCUGUGUCUGAAGCUCUCUCUAAUUUCCCUGUCAUCAUCAGUGAUUUGUGUGGUAAUAAGCAGGGACAUCCAUCACACUGAUACUAGAUCCCAGAAUGUGUAUGUCAUCCACGUCAAUGUAUUCAGCACAAAACAAAACUAAUAAUGAAUAUCAUCCUGACACCCAUUUACUGUGCCUGUGCAUGGAGCAAUGAGUGGAGCCUUGCCCUGUAGCCGUUGGCUGUAAAGGCCACACUUCUGUGAAAAUCUCUGCAGAGGUGAAACUGAGCCUAGCUCUGGCACUGCCCAGCGCUAACAAGCGAAAUCCAGCGAACAAACCCUCCUUCAUUCAGGAGCCCUGCAAAAAUAAACUACACACCUUUUAUUUUUCUUUUGAUCGUGUACAAAUGUUGAUUUUACUGUGGUGCCCUGUUUCCAUUGCUUUACCUCUAUGAAUUCAUUCCAGCCUUCUUAGAGCUCAGUAUAUAUCAUCAGUUUUAGAAGUGAUUUAUCCUGGGUGACCUAACUGAGACUCGGAACAUAGUGGGGGUCUUGC